RNAcentral lists this ribosomal RNA (500 nucleotides) under uncultured bacterium. RNAcentral's name for it is "partial 16S ribosomal RNA". It matches the Rfam family "Bacterial small subunit ribosomal RNA", at positions 30 to 523 of the family's 1533-position model. The record is from RNAcentral.
AUUGAACGCUGGCGGCAUGCCUUACACAUGCAAGUCGAACGGCAGCACGGACUUCGGUCUGGUGGCGAGUGGCGAACGGGUGAGUAAUGUAUCGGAACGUGCCUAGUAGUGGGGGAUAACUAGUCGAAAGAUUAGCUAAUACCGCAUACGACCUACGGGUGAAAGUGGGGGAUCGCAAGACCUCAUGCUAUUAGAGCGGCCGAUAUCAGAUUAGCUAGUUGGUGGGGUAAAGGCCCACCAAGGCAACGAUCUGUAGCUGGUCUGAGAGGACGACCAGCCACACUGGGACUGGGACACGGCCCAGACUCCUACGGGAGGCAGCAGUGGGGAAUUUUGGACAAUGGGGGCAACCCUGAUCCAGCAAUGCCGCGUGUGUGAAGAAGGCCUUCGUGUUGUAAAGCACUUUUGUCAGAGAAGAAAACUGUUGCGCUAAUAUCGCGACGGGAUGACGGUAUCUGAAGAAUAAGGACCGGCUAACUACGUGCCAGCAGCCGCAGUAA